This 484-nucleotide ribosomal RNA is filed under the name uncultured bacterium. RNAcentral describes it as "partial 16S ribosomal RNA". It matches the Rfam family "Bacterial small subunit ribosomal RNA", at positions 29 to 507 of the family's 1533-position model. The record is from RNAcentral.
AUUGAACGCUGGCGGCAUGCUUUACACAUGCAAGUCGGACGGCAGCGCGGGCUUCGGCCUGGCGGCGAGUGGCGAACGGGUGAGUAAUACAUCGGAACGUGCCCAGUAGUGGGGGAUAGCUCGGCGAAAGCCGGAUUAAUACCGCAUACGACCUGAGGGUGAAAGCGGGGGACUUUAGGGCCUCGCGCUAUUGGAGCGGCCGAUGGCAGAUUAGCUAGUUGGUGGGGUAAAGGCCUACCAAGGCGACGAUCUGUAGCUGGUCUGAGAGGGCGACCAGCCACACUGGGACUGAGACACGGCCCAGACUCCUACGGGAGGCAGCAGUGGGGAAUUUUGGACAAUGGGCGCAAGCCUGAUCCAGCAAUGCCGCGUGUGUGAUGAAGGCCUUCGGGUUGUAAAGCACUUUUGGCAGGAACGAAAAGUGCCGUGCUAAUACCACGGUACGAUGACGGUACCUGCAGAAUAAGCACCGGCUAACUACGUG